CUCCUUGCUUCUUUCCCUCCGCACUAUAUAUGGGAUCAGAAAACUCAAAACUCGCAUUCUGAAAUUCAUGUCUUGUCAUGGGUGCAGUGGAGGUGUAGGUUUUGUUGGUGCACAAGCCAUAGUGCCUGUGAGAUGGUGACCUCUUUCUCUUUCAUAGCAGGAGAGUUGAGGCUAGCUAGUAUGUUAGUGGGGGGCAUGGUCAUUUGGGAUUCUUACCUUCUGUGAUCGGUUGGAGCUGGCUGCUGCCUCAGUUGCGGGUGUGGUAAUACAACAGAGAUCUGCUUAAUAUGGGCUGUGUGGUUGAGAACAGGGAAAACAAACGAACAAACAAGUUGGCUAUUAUUAAUUGCUUCUGAUUCUUCAAAGAACAAAGCAUGAAACCUUGGGAGUUAAAUAGUAAGCCAUCUUUGGAUUAGGUUUUAGCUUGAUGCUAACUUGGUUGUUUCAACAGCAGUGCUACAGCCUACCGCCUGGUGAGAACUGUGUCGAAUUCUGUAGGAAUGGAUGGAGUACAAGUUUUGAGGAGUGGAUCAACGUUACGUUUGGGAUGAAUAUUAAUUCAGCCCCAAUUCUAGAGUGACCAGAGGGAGGUUCAUUCCACAAGGAAAUAUAUAGGACAAUCAUAGAGCAAGGAGAUUGAUCCUUCAAUUGUAUGCCUAUGCAAAAAUCUAUCCACUGCAGUGGUUCUCCCAAGCACAAAACAUUGUAAAACUUUCAGUUUAUAUGGCUGUUAGGGAAAGCCUCUUGCAUAUUCUAUAGACAUGUUCUUUUCACUGUAGGAUUCUGGUUAUCAUUAUUUCGUUUUAUAUGCUUCUAAUCCCAGCUGCUUGCAAGGAAACUUGGACUGGCUCCUCUAAAAGCUUGUAAAGGAAUUUGGGCGCUUUAUUCCAAGCUAACUAUUGCUUUGCUGUUAUGU
Long non-coding RNA from Vitis vinifera (wine grape), 916 nucleotides. RefSeq lists it as uncharacterized. Lineage: Eukaryota; Viridiplantae; Streptophyta; Magnoliopsida; Vitales; Vitaceae. The record is from RefSeq and is a predicted model, not a curated record. The transcript is spliced from 2 exons.